AACUUCCUACAAGAAGAAAAAUUUUGUUGAAUACUUCACUUCACUUACAAAUGUAAUUACAUGGUUUUAUUAACAGCAGCAUUGGAAUCAUUUGAAUGGCAACUCAUCAAUAUGUUGUCCAACCAGCAUUGCUAUCAAUGCUGCAGUUGUUCCAUCACCAACAAUGGAUUGCGCAUUGAAUAUUUGUGAUUUCAAAUCAUUCUUAAGGUACUUGUAUAUCGGAUCUAGCUUUCGUUGAAAGUGUGCAUGGGAAGUAGAAUCUAAGCCCACCAUCAUAAUGUUCAGUGGUAUUCCUGGUUUCUUUUGAGGAACUCUGUUUAGUAUUUCAUCACGAGAAUUCACUUCCAUGUGAAAUUCUUUUUGAAUUUUAUUAUCUGUUUUGUGAAUCUCGACAUACACCAUGUCUUCGUUAAGGAUCACCUCUGGCUUUGAUGGUGUAAGGGUGCCUUUUUCCUUGACAUUAAACCAUUCUCCAGAGUUGCUACGUCCUGUAAUAACUUCAUAUUCUGCUUUGAUUGCUCUUAAUCUUCCAGCUAGAAAACAACACUUAUCCAUGAGUUUUGGCGCAUCAUGUUACAAGUAUGUUCAUAAUUUAAAAAUUUUUAUACACAAAUAUAACAAACAAAAUUUUUACCAAACAUAAGUUAUGUAGGUGCACAAUAUGUGUAAAUGGAGAAAAUGGGGACCCAAUGAUGUAUGAAAGGAUAAUUAGAGGCUUAUGCAAAUAUGUAUAGAACACUAUAACUCUUUAUCCUUGAUACAUAUCGAAAAUGGUGUUGUGCUUUUUACAUAUUGCAGUUGAUUGUUUUCAUACAUCUUUGAUGUUUGAUGUAUUCUUAGUUGUUAGUACCUACAAGUAAAAGUGGUUUUUUAAACAGGUGCUAUUUUUAUUUUUAAUACCUAA
This is a long non-coding RNA of Xenia sp. Carnegie-2017, 904 nucleotides long. RefSeq lists it as uncharacterized. The record is from RefSeq and is a predicted model, not a curated record. The transcript is spliced from 2 exons. Lineage: Eukaryota; Metazoa; Cnidaria; Anthozoa; Malacalcyonacea; Xeniidae.